UGGCGGACGGGUGAGUAACGCGUGGGCAACCUGCCUUACACAGGGGGAUAACAGCUAGAAAUGGCUGCUAAUACCGCAUAAGACCUCAGUACCGCAUGGUAGAGGGGUAAAAACUCCGGUGGUGUAAGAUGGGCCCGCGUCUGAUUAGGUAGUUGGUAGGGUAACAGCCUACCAAGCCGACGAUCAGUAGCCGACCUGAGAGGGUGACCGGCCACAUUGGGACUGAGACACGGCCCAA
Molecule: ribosomal RNA, 238 nt
Filed under: uncultured bacterium
Lineage: Bacteria
Description: partial 16S ribosomal RNA
Rfam family: Bacterial small subunit ribosomal RNA
Source: RNAcentral